UUCUAACAAGUGUUUUGUCUGUAAUUUUGUAAAAAAGACUGAUAAAGUUUUCAGACACUUUUGCAUUUUCAUAAUUUCAGACACUUUUGCAAUAGUUUUGUGUACUGAAUGUUCUGAAUACAAACAAAAUAAAGAAUGUGGUUUUGAUUCUGAAUUUUUAUUUCAAACCUCUUAUGUGCUCCAUAGUGUAUGUACAUACAGAGAUUCAAGGUUCCUGCUUGCCUAAGGUGAUUCUUGUAAAAUGUUAUUGUUUGCUUCACUCAUAACUAAAUUAACACUUGGUUCUGGAGGUCUGAUGGUGUUACUAAGGAAUAGCAGUAAAAGAUCUGGCUAUAUUACCUGAUCUUCAAAGGUUCAUGUGAAUAACAGUGGCAGAGAUUUUUUUUUUUAUAUUUCUCCACUGAAGCCUAUAGGUAAAAGAUGAAUAGAUUUAGGGUGCCAUGCUGGACUUCGAAAGGAGAUAAUGUAGUACUGCUACAGUGGAGACUUAGUCUUGGUUGGACAUAGAAACAGCCUGAUUUUUUUUUAUAUAUAUAUAUAUAUAUUUUUUUAACGUGUCAUCAUUCGUGUUUUAUUCUUCUUUAAAUGUGGUGCAGUUUCCUGGAGUUGAGGCAUUUCAAAUUUUGUGUCCUCAGAAGGCUUAUUUUCUAUGAAAGUUCUAAAGUGCCAGACUUACCAGUGAAUGAGAGUAUUUAAUUAUUCUGGAAGUCAUGGCAAGGAAGGUGAAGUUCUAAUUUUCUUAAAUGUUGGUGGGGUUUAUUUUUUGUGGGUUAUCUUUGGGUUUCAGGUUUUUUUGUUUGCUUGUUUGUUAAUGAUUGGAUGGUUCAAGCAUCACUGCCUUGAGUAGCAUUUGUGAAAAUGACCAGUGAUUUGGUUUUGAGUGAGAAAACGAGAAAAGCCUAGAGAAACGUGUGUUGCUGAUCAUAGACCUGCAAAUUCAGUCCUGGUUCAAUCAAGUAUUUUAUGAGUGUGGGUGGGGAGAGUAGGUAUAUGGCUUUUAUCUUGCCGAACAACAUUAAAGGAGUUCUAGUCAGUUGCCUGGAUUCUUCUACCUCUACAAUUAAGAACACUUAAAAACUAGAGCACAUUAAUUUAAACCAUAUCAUCAAAUUAUUCUUCAUCACAAUAUUUUAAGUUGAAAAUAUAUUUGUCCCAUGCUAUUUUUUGUUUCAGUCACCCAGUUUUUAGUAACAUUGCUUUCUAGUGUUUCUUGUGAAACAGAACUAUUUCCCAUACUUCCAGAAAAAUAUUGCAUGUAAGGAGAAUAUUUAAUCCGUCUCUAGGAUUUUGAGUCAUUACAAGAAACAGCCUAUAUAAAAAGACUUUUUAUUGGAAAUGUAGUUAGUGGAAAUAGGUUCAUGAAUGCUUAUGUACUUUACCUAAAAGAAACUGAUUCUUUUGCUAUGAGAAUGAAGUUUAAGCAGCACCACUAGAACACUGCUUGCUUGAACAAAUAACGUUUGCUUCAAGUUGUUUGGUUUGAUGGUUUUGUUUUUGUUGUUGUGUUUUGGUUGGUUUUUUGGUGGUUGUGCAUUUUUAUUUUUUUUAUUUGUUGUUGUUAUUUUUUUAAACUAGCUUACUGUGUUGUCUAAUUACUUAAUUGCAUUUGCUAAUGUUGUUAGGGAUCCCCAUCCCUUUUGCUCACUGUUCAUCUCCUAUGACAGUAAGGUGAACUUCUUCCAUUCUAUAUUAUUACUCAUCAAUGAAAAGCAGAAAUACUUGUUUUGAAGGCAUGAUCACCUCACUUACAGAAAAUAAUUUCAAGUUUUUGCCAUAUUAUGUCAUCAUCAUUCUGGUUUAUUUUGAAAAUAAGAGUGGAAGUUAUUUAAUUUGAGGAACUGUAUGUGGAUAAAAUGUGUUUUUCUGUGUUCAAACUAUUUCUGUACAGUCUCAAACAGCUGAGUGUAUUCUACCUAUCUAUCGAUAUCUAUAUCUGUUAAAAACAUCUGGAAAGUAGAACAAUCACAGUAACUUUUUUCACCAUGUUUGCAGAUAAAUCAUUUAUGAUCAAAUCAUUGUUGGUGUUACUUGGACUUUUUUAAAAUGAUGAAAUACUAUGAAAUUUUUGUGAUGGAGAUCUGGCCUCUAUUAUUCUUUGUCUAGCACGUGCACAGUUUUUCUUUCUGAAGAAACUGAAUAUUGGUUGAAUGUAGUCAAGUAGGUGAUUUUUCUCUUUUCUUUUGAUACGUGACAAAAGAAGAAAGCUUUAGUGUAGAACUGAUCAACUUAAGUCUAACUUAAGCCUUCUUCCUUCUUCCUUCACUGGGAAAAGUCCUUUUCCACAUGCUACUAAAAUAAAUUGAGGUGGUUCAUAUUGACAUAGGAACACAUGCAAAUGUAACACAAUAUUGGUAAUUUAUCUCAUGAUAAACAGUUAACUACAAGAUUUAGAAUAAUCUUCAAUUAAAAGCAUAAGUAACACACACAGAGCCUGGAUUCUACACUUCCUUGCCACUGGAAGGGGCUUUUUUAUAUGUCCUCUCUGUUUCCUUACCUUUACAAUGUUAGACAUAACUUUCAUGUUUUGCAGCGUAAUUUCUUGAAGGUUUUCAGAUUUCUCUUUCAAGUCCAAAAUAGUGAAUUCCUAAAAAACAACAAUUUAAAAAUGAGGGCCUGGAGGUGUACUUGCUUUUAGUUCAGGGGUCGAUAAGCAGAAGAAAAAUAAGAAAAAUUGGCAGCCAUUUCAAGUCACGGUUUUGAAAUGCCAAAGAGGAGCAGCAAUGGCUGCUUAGUCUUCCUGAUAUGAACAGAGAAAGCUUUGUUAGGCCUCACUCUGUUAGUGAAGGAAGAAGAGACAAAUUGCAUGUCCUAAUUUAGAAAUUCCAGCCUCAAACCCAAUGUUUAGAUCUGACAGCUCUACUUCUGCUCAAGAACCAGUUUCCUUUCUGUUUUGCACCCCUUAUCUUUUGUAGUACCCCUGCAAUUUUUUCCCUACAUUUUAACUCAGUUUUCAGGCUUUCUUGAUUUUGCCUACCUGGUAGGUAAAAACAGAGUCUUAGUGGAUAAAAAAUAAUAAUUAAAAAUAUUAUCUUAUAUGUGUAAAAUAAGUACAUGAAAACUAGGCUUCGGUUAGUAGUGGGGCAUCACAGAACCAGAAAACUAAUGUUGUUCGGAAGUUACCUAAAUUCCUUGUUCUCUUAUAUGCCUUACUUUCUAGAUAUUUAAAUUUUCUUCUUUUUUUGAUCACUUGUCAUGAGUUCCUAUUCUGAGUAUCACACAAAUUUAAAAAGAAAGCCCUCAUUAUGUUUAUUUAAAUGUCAGCGUUCAGAUGUAAUGAAUUCUUCCUCAUGGCAUUGGUGAUGACUGGUCCCAGUAAUCCUGUCUCAGGUUUUGCCAGGCUGUUCCUAUUUGUAGCCAUUUGGUUAUAAGAUAGUUUACACUGAAUAUUUAAACUAUGUUUACAACAGAAGAGCUUGCCAUUAAAAAAUUAUUUUGCCUGUAAUGUUUCCGGCUCCAUUGUUCACUUUGGUUUGGUUCACCCCAUUUAAACCAGCAAACAAUACCUCAACCAAAAUUAUAUGCCUUCUUGGAACAGCAUGUACUUCAACUGGUAGUAAGAACUAGACAAAACUUUGGCAGAUUUCAGUCACUGAAGACAGAUUUAUGCUGUAUGAUCUGUGACUGCACUUUCCAACAAUAUCAUAGGGAAACAAUUCCAGCCCUAAAAAACUUAAAUUACAGGACAUGUUUUGCCAUGUUGAAUAUACUUUCCGCUUUGAAAACAUUAGGAGUGUCUCUUUGGAGUAUUCCUGAAUACCACACUUUGCUGGUCCUCUCUCUCAGCCUUUCACCAGAGACCUUUUUUCUUCACUCUAGACUUUCAUCAGGGUAGAGGCAAAAUGUAGACUGGUUAAAAUUGUGUUCAACAGAAACGGGAGGAAAGCUGCAAAAUCUUCCUUUAUGAGUUCCCAAACCAUAUUGUGGCUCUUUUUACACUGCAUCAUUUUACGUGAUUUUUCUUGGGAUAUUCAUUCAAAAGGACCCAGUGAUCCUGGGAACAUGCACCACUCCUCUCCUGUCCCUUUCCUACUGGCCAGGUUACUUUUUGUAAGGAGGAAGAGAAGGGUUUGGAAGGCAAUGAACAUUUCUGCUAAGACAUUUCUUUUCCUACAAAAGUAUGAUUACUGAAUUCUUAGAUUUCAGCAGGGUAAAAAAGGUACACAAUUAGGUUUGUUUUUUUUCCUUUUUUUUUUUUUUUUUUUUUUAAAGUAUGACAUUUACAGAGAUCUACUAUAUGCAGAUAUCUCAUUGAAGAAAGCAAGGAAUAUGAAAGAAGCAAACGUUUUUUGAGUUUUCCAUAUCUAUCAAAUGAUAGUGAAGUCUGUACCUAUUGCAUUUUUGGAAGUAAAUGCUGUAGCUAAUUGAUGAUCUCUGUCCUGACAAAUAGAAUUGAAUAUAUUGUUUUUAGGAGAACUGUAUCAAUGUAAACUUCUUGCAUACCAACAUACCCCAAUCUCAGAAAACAAAAAGUUAAAGAACUUUAGAGGUAUAAAUCUUUUUCUUUCUUAUCUGGCAAAAAAUCAAGCCAAAUUGCAACAUGUGGUGUGCAAGAUCUUGCCUUCUACUGUAGGUCCAAUGCAUAAUGUUAGAAUUGGCAUAUCUUAGCUUAAAGAGAGUGAACAUCAGGAAGCAUAUGUAGGUAGACAGUUUUUUCUUGUUAGCCUUGAGAAUAAGUUAUGCUUCAUCAAAAGUGCACAGAAGGGAAAGAAAGUUUAUGUGAAAUGAGAUGAUAGAAACCUGGCAGAAGACUUCACUGCUGGGGUCACAGGAACUGCUGCAGUGCGUAACAUUUUGUUCGGGAAGGCAGGGGGAGUCUAGCCAGUCAAACUUAAUUCCAGAACAUUGUAAGUGCAAGUCAGGUAUACACUGCCUUUUGUGUUCAUGUUCAUGAAACAGAGUUCUUGCACAGGGGUUUUCAGUUUUAUUGAUGGAAAUCUGUCUUUGAUUCUUAAUGUUAGAACUUACUCUUCAGUGUAAGUAUGGUGGAAUUUUGGGGUUUCUUUUUGGUUUGUUUUUACAAAGCCUAAUAAGCACAGAGAUUUAUUUUUUUUUCAUGUUCUGCAGCUGUAGCAGCUUAAUUAAUUAAGCUUCUUAAACUAUGAAGUGAGGUUCUCCAAUUUGAGAUCUCAAUAUAAUUUAAACAGAGACUGUCUGUUCCAGUCUGUUCUUCUUCCUAUAUGACUAGUAGCUGAACAUUGUGAUUAAAAGAGUCUUCUGAUAGUGUUGGGAUUUCUUAGGCCAUGAAGCAAGGUUGAGAAUGCCAGCAGAAAUAUAGAAAUGAGGCAAGAAGUGUUUAAUUACAUCCUGAAAGACACCAGAAACAAGUGGGCCUACUCUGCCACUAGAUGGCAGUCAAGUAUUUUUAAUGGACUAUGCAAGGCACUUUUAAGUUAUUCUCAGGGGGUCCUGAAGACACCCUGCAGUGUGGAUAUUAAUGUAUUUAUUUUUAGUCAGAAAGUCAGAAAGUGGUGGCUUUCUGGUCAUCAAUAAGUCAGCCUGUGGAAAGGACCCAUAUUUACCAUGCUUAAUCUGAUGGGGGUUUAGAAAUUGGAGCAUUUCUUGAAGAUAGUAAAACUUUGUCCUGACAAUAGCAAAAUUUCCGAAACAUUAAAUGUUUGGAAAGUUCUGUUCUGUCACUGUUAAGUUUUUUAAAAAUCUGUGAAGGGAACAUAUUUAAUUUGUUCUACAAGACUUCUGGAUGACUGUCUUUGUAAGGGUAAUUUAAAAGUUUUGCUGCUGAAUUACCACUGUUUAAAUAAAGAGGUCAGUUUUCUUUUGGAUAUAAAAUCCUGAAUCUUUUCCAUUUUGUUCUGAUGAGGGAAAGAGUUUAAAAAAAAAAAAAAAUAAAAAAAAUGUACCUAACAUCAUUUUUAUCAAUUAGUUGACAUAUGUAGAAUAUAAAUCAUAGAUUCCAGAAUAAAAAAAGUACAAUAUGUCAAGCCUGUGUGGUAGAAAAAUAAAAGCAGUUAAUUUCUCAGAAUAAAUGUUAGUAUUUUGUAUUAUAUCCACACUUCACAAUACUUGGAUUGACUUCCGUUGUUUUGCUUGAAGGCAAUGUUUGCUUCUUUAAAAGGAACAAUACAUUGGUAUAAUUUUCAGUAGAGUGACAAUAGCACAUUUUUGCACUAUUCCUCCUGGCAAUGGUGAGACUAAAAUUUGUUUUGUUCUAAUUUGUGCUCUUGAUGUUAAUGUCAAGAUGAAGUUUUUCUUAUGUGCUCAUUCAAAUUUGAAAGGCUCUUAAUUCUGUUUUUCCUUUUUGAUACAUGACAUGCUACUUCAAUUAUAGAUCUGAAAUAACAUAAAAAUAAUAGAAUAAUUUAGGGCUGAAUAGACAUUAUGAGGUCAUGCUGCCCAGCCCCUUCCACACCAGCAAGGCUAGCUUACGUGUUAGAUUGUUUUCUUAGGAUCUUGCUACAUUCAUUGUGUUGUUUUGAUAACAGAUUGAGAAGAUGAACAUGUGUGCUCUGAAAGCACAUAUAUUUCCUGUGAGUUACUCCUAAUUUAAACUCUGUGUACUUAGAGGCAUUGGUUAAAAUUCUCACGAAACUGCUGUUUGAGUUCAAGUGGAUCAUUUGGCUUCAUGGCUUCUAUAUCACUGACUUUUAUGAGAAUAUGGUAGAGUGUAAAACAAAUUUUGCAUCUAGUAAUUACAAUGAGCAUUCUGUGUUUUCCAUUUUAACUACGCUUUGUACUUAGACACAACCAGACUGUCUUUUUUCACAUUUUAGGUACCAGCCUUAAGGUUCAGGCAAUACCAAUGCCUGAACAGUGAGCUUACAAAUUCUGUCUGGAAGAUGACUUAGGAUUUACAGAUUUCCCUUUCUUCUGUCAUUGAUGAGAAAACAAGGAGAAAUGAAAGUGAAACUAAGAAACCUAUUACUUUUAGCCAGAAUUGCUUGUUGGUACCUAAAAUCCUUGGUUAUAAUGUGAGAGUCUAUUCUUUCCCAAGAGAUGAAUUAUUGUGUGGGAUAUGGCUUGGAUAGGAAGAAUUACCUUUUUCACAAAAACGUGUCUCCGAAGAGUAGGUCACUGAAAGAAAAUUUCUUCUUGUGCCAUUCCUAGCAGGACAGACUUAUCUCAUUUGCCAAGUUGUCUUAACCUAUUUGAGAGACCUCAUCCAGUCAAAAAUGAGCCAUGUUCUAAAGAUUAAUUUUUAAAAUUUUUCUCAGCAUUGAAGAUCAGCUGCUAUCUUACAGUGGUCUACAUCCCAAAAAUUUCUAUAGGACCCUCUGUGUGGAAGAGAGAUAAGAAAUGCUUUUCGUAAUAAAUUUUUUUUUUUUUAAAUUGCAUAUUUCUAAAUGAAAUAAAUAUUAAAAUUAAAAAAAAAAAAAAAGAAAAACAACCAUGGUAUAUUGCCAUACUUGAAUGAGAAUUUUAAAAUAAAGCUGAGAAUUUCUACGUUUUGGAUAAAAAAACAGACUAACCGGUUUAACUUCUACUUACAAUCAGAUCAAAAUAUAAUCAGGUUCUCCAUUUUGAGUUAGUAUAUGUUAAACGAUUAAGAUCACUUUAUUCUUUUCUGUAUUUUUUAAAUCACUAUUUUUUUUGUUCUUUAGAGAAUAUGCUCAUAGGUAUAUUCAAAGCCAAAUACUACUGAUAAAAAUUAACCCACCUAUUCCUGAAUGUUUAAUUAAUUUCAAUAUUCAACUUUUCCUGAAGACAAAUGAUUUUUUUCUAAUGUCCUUCAUACUGAAAAGUAUUUACUUAACCUCCCAAAAUGUAAAGCUCGUCUUUAAUGACUUCAUUGUAGUUGAUUGUUUAAUGUUCUCUCACACAAGAUGAUACAGCUUUACUCUUAAUAGAGCCUUCCCACUUUCAAAGAGUUAGAGAAGCUGACUGACCUCCAGCCCCCUACCCUCAGUAUGUUCAUGGAUACAUUUGUGAAGACUCUGACUUCUCCAAGCUUUUUCUGUCGUGAGCAGGAGGCUAAUAUUUCAGGGUAGUGAAGGGUAUUCAUCCCUUUCUACAAAGAUUUAUUCUUACUGUGGAUAUUUCUUGCUGCUUAUUCCCUGCUGGAAGCCUGAAACAAAAGCAACAUGUGAACCUCCCAUUUCGUGGUCUGGCUGAACUCUUGGAUAAAAAGGGCAAGUACCAUGUAGAAUUAUCAUACUCUGGACAGUUGCUUAAUAAGCUGUGGCAAAGUUCACCUGGAAAAUCAUUACCUCUUUUUGAUCUCUAGUGCUGGACCAUCAGGAGAAGAAACCAAAGGUGUUCUGAGUCCCUCAAUUUUAGAUUAUUAAUGUUCACAUUUUGGGCAAUAGAAUCCAUAUUGUUAUUUCUAGCAAAAAAACUAGUAUAAUUUCUGUAUAUAAAGAAUACAGCAAUAAUAGAAUGUGGCAGUUUACAGUGUGACUUCUUCCCAGGUUGCCAGUCAAUCUGAAGUUGGAUCAAAAAUCAAAAAAUGGCCUCGUGUGAAAAAGAAAACUCCUUUCUCUGGUAUGCCAAUGUAGUAAUGUUCAAGGUAUGCCAGAUUUUGUUUUGUAUUUUAACCAAAUGAGAGGGAUGGUUACCUUGGCUAGGAUACAUAAGAAAACUACUCAACACGUUUAGACUCAGAGAUAAUAUACUUUAUGACAAAUGCAGGUGAUAGAAGAAAGGAAGUGAUUCAUCAUGUGAUAGUAAUUUCAAUAAACAGCCUAAAUAUUGAGCAGAAAAUAAAUACAGAACAGUUUUUUUCCGCAACUGAAAAAAAAAAAUCUGACUUAUAAGGUGCCUGCUGCUUAUUGGAUUAUGGGCAUAGGUGGCUGGGUUUUAGUUCUCUCUGCAUCUGCUAAAAGACCCAAGUGCAGCUAAUUCUAUUGUAGGAGUCUUUGAGACCAACAGCAGAACACCUAAAAAGACAGCAGAAAUAGACAAAAUAAGGCUAUAUUAAAAUUAAUAAAGUUGAACUGCCUUUUUUUUUCCCCUCUCUUUUAUUUCUAUGCCCGUUCUCAUUUAUAUACUGGUUUUACACUAGGUAAGUGACAGAACAGUUAAAUUAGUUUCUGGGUUAACUGAAGUUACAUGGAAGAGUAAGCCUUUUUUGAAGUCUUUAAAGGUGAGUGUCACAAAGAUUGAGCCAGGCUCUUCUUGGUGACAACCAAUGAUAGGACAAGGGGCAAUGGGUACAAACAGAAACACAGGAGGUUCCACUUAAAUUUGAGAAGAAACUUCUUCUCAGUGAGGGUGACAGAACACUGGAACAGGCUGCCCAGGGGGGUUGUGGAGUCUUCUGCUCUGGAGACAUUCAAAACCCGCCUGCACACAUUCCUGUGUAACUUCAUCUGGGUGUUCCUGCUCCGGCAGGGGGAUUGGACUAGAUAAUUUUUUGAGGUCCCUUCCAAUCCCUAACAUUCUGUGAUUCUGUGAUUGUUUACUGCUUUACUGCUUCAUGCUGCUCUAUUAAAGAUAUUUCAUUUAUGCUAGGAGAGGAACCUGCAAGCCUUGAGGAGGUUUUUUUAUUGUGGUGUGUUUGGUUUUGUUUGGUUGGUUGUUGUUUUAGGUUUGUUUUGUUUUGUUUGGGUUUUUUGUUGUUUUUUGUGGGGCUUUUUGUUUUCUUUUAAAGUUAAUCAGGUCUGAAACUUUCUGGGCAAUCAGGCUGAAAAAUACUAUUUGUGCAGGCUAAAAGUAAUAUUAUGUAAGACUACAGUAAUUAUACUUACUGCUGUGUAGCUCCUAGGGUGCACAGUGGUUCUGUGAGAUUUUAUCUUGUCUUGUCUAUAGUUUACAGAAAUUCUUUGGAGGUUCCUAUUGUAGCAGAACUUGUAGAUAACUUAAGGUCAUAUUUCAGCUCAGUUAAGAGUUGUAAAACUUGUAGAGAGAAAACUUUUAAUCUUUGAUGCAUCUCACGUUGGCUUUCUGUUUUUAUUAUUUGCUAAAAUGGGAAGUGUAAAGAACUGGAAUCUUAUCCUCUGAAAUGCACUUAGCCAAGGGGUAAGGAAUUCAAACUGUUCAGCAACAGAAGCUUCACAAAACUGAAUCUGAACAAAACUUUUUUCUUCUGCUUUCCAGCUUUAGAAGUUGGCAUUUGUAAUCCAUGCGUCUGUCUUCAAAGGUCUAUGCUCCCUGCUGAUCCUGUGUUUUACUUGAACUGUUUGAAUUGCACUAAUUAAAGAUUUCUGCAUAUUGGUGGUUUUUUUCUGUUUGUUUGGUUAUGGUUUGGAUUUUUUGGUUUGGUUUGGUGUUUUGUCGUUUUUGUUUUAAUGUGUGUGUGUGAUGAUUGUUUUGUGUUGUGGUGGUGGGCUUUUGUUUGUUUGUUUUCAGUGUUUGCUUUUUUUCCCAUGCUAGGUUAUGAUAAAACUUCUGGGUUGAUUAGACAUGUUCUAGCUGUUAUGCUUAGGAAGAGCUAAAUAGUCUCAAUGCCAGCACAGUGCAGGCUCGUGUAAUCCAUCUGUUGCAGUGUGUCACUGUGUGGGAGAAUAACUCAUGUCCAUCAAAUAAAGUUUAUCACUUCAGGCAUGGCAGUGAUUGCUACACCAAGGCUUGCUUGUUCAGGGCUAUCCUGGGGGUCUGUGCAUCAUGUUUCUCUGUGGCUGUAGGAAGAAACAUCGACCACAGCUUAAACAUGUCUCCUUUGUCCCCGUACAUGCACCUGCAGUAUAAUAGAAGCUUCUCAAAAAAUUAUUUGAUCUCAUAGUCUGAGGAAGAAACUAGUAUCCGAUACUAAUUUUACUCCUUCAGCAGUUCUCCCUGAUGCUGUUGGCAAGUUUGCCAGCUUUCGACUGAACUUCUACUACCAGAAAACUAGAAUGCUGCAACAGGCUUUGAGGAUCAAGUGAAAUAUGAGUUAGAUGGAUCCUAUUUUGUCUGAAUCCAAAACAAGCGUCCAUCGGUACUUCUCAUCUGACAAUCCUUCUAGCACUAAAAAUGCUUGUUAAAAUGUUGUGUCUCCUUUCUUAAGGUUGAUCUGCAGUUGCAAGAAGAAGCUUUGAAAAUGAGACAGCUUUAAAAAGAGAAACCUUAAUAGAGAUUGCACUUCUCUGAAUUCAGUUCUUACUGUGGCACUACCUUCUGCUAUUUGAAAGAAGACUUCCACAGUACCCGAGUCCUGGGUAAGAACUCUAGGCAAGACAGAGUUCCCUCAUAUCUCUUUUAAACCCUGUAGGUUUCUGCUGUGGAAUUAUCCUUCAGAUUAAAAAUGAACCUUCUUUUCA
Columba livia (rock pigeon) is the source of this 11132-nucleotide long non-coding RNA. RefSeq lists it as uncharacterized. Lineage: Eukaryota; Metazoa; Chordata; Aves; Columbiformes; Columbidae. The record is from RefSeq and is a predicted model, not a curated record. The transcript is spliced from 2 exons.